GUCUUGGUGGCAAGAACCAGCCAAUCAAGGCCAGAAGUUUGUUUUUUGCCGCGCAUGGCAAGUGUUUUCAAGGUCUCCACCGACGAUUCAUCAGGACGAGACCAGCAGGACACUAGGGAGGAAUGGCUUAUGCAAGGGAGGCUACAUAUACGACAGCUUCUUGCGGACAAGAAACGAAAAUAGAUAGAUGUUUCCAUGGCCCACAAGCCAGCCGGCGCCAGUUCGUUCUCGUUCAAAG
Long non-coding RNA from Ixodes scapularis (black-legged tick), 238 nucleotides. RefSeq lists it as uncharacterized. The transcript is spliced from 3 exons. NCBI's taxonomy places the organism in Eukaryota, Metazoa, Arthropoda, Arachnida, Ixodida, Ixodidae. The record is from RefSeq and is a predicted model, not a curated record.